GUCACGCCCCCUUCCGGUGGCUGUCUUGCUGGGAGCAGAAGAGGCGAGUCCUGGCGGGGCUUGGCCUGACAGGCCCGGAGCCGAACCGCCCCUUUCGCGGUUGGCUCAGGAAAGAGCCAGAUUUGUUUGUUUGUUUGCUUGUAGCUUUUCCUUCUCUCAGCUCCUCGCUCAUCCAGAAAUAGAGUCUUGCCGUAAAAUGUUGCUUUUAAAGAUCUCCGACAUCUCGAAUCAUGCAAGGUUUUACAGAGGUGUAUGGAUCUAUAUCAACUGCUCACUUUAUGCCAGUACUUGCUGUAGGUGUCCAAGACAGCAACAAUGGUUGGAUUCCAGGAGCUGAAGUUAUGGGUGUUUGUUUCCCUCCUGACGUGAGCGCUGAGAACUGAACUCUCACCCUUUGCAAGAGCAGCAAGCUCUCUUAACCACCCGCUGAACCAUCUCCCCAGCCCCAUGGAUAUAAUCUUUAAAAAUUACGCUAACUCGGAACUCUUGCUACAGAAUUUCAUAAUUCUUAAGAUCCUCUUUAACAUGAGUUGACCCAGAAUGAUUACUGUGAGCUAAUUAACGUGUACUGUAGAGGAUCCUAAAGUGGGAAAUGUCCUAUUCACAAAAGUCCUCCCCUGAGUUAUAGGAAAAGCCAAGAGACACUGAGUUACAUAUAUAUAUUGUCCCUGGGCUCUGUUUCCACAAGUCAAUGUACAACAGUUGGUAAAGAAAUAAAAUGUCUAUGUUUGAAAUUUAAUCUGCCCAUGGAAAUACUAGGAUCGAAAUAAAUAGAUAUA
Long non-coding RNA from Peromyscus eremicus (cactus mouse), 779 nucleotides. RefSeq lists it as uncharacterized. Lineage: Eukaryota; Metazoa; Chordata; Mammalia; Rodentia; Cricetidae. The record is from RefSeq and is a predicted model, not a curated record. The transcript has 3 exons.